Non-coding RNA from Parcubacteria bacterium 34_609, 74 nucleotides. Lineage: Bacteria; Candidatus Parcubacteria. The record is from Rfam.
GUCCCCAUAGCUCAAUUGGAUAGAGCGUUGCACUCCUAAGGCAAAGGUCGCAGGUUCAACUCCUGCUGGGGACA